AAACCAGAACAACAUAAAAGGAAAAGAAGUCAAUCCACAGACAGCAAAGGAGGGCCUCAGCACUUGCAUUUGAGAACUGGCUCUUCUACUCACCUCGCUCUGCAAGAGUUACUUAAAAAUACCCCACACCUCGCUCAUUUUGCUCAUCAUUGUUAAAAUGAGGAACUGUCUCCACUCUUGCUCCAAACCUGGUAACACUGCCAUUCCCUCUGUGCCACAUGUGAGGGACCCAGGCCCAGGAUUCUAGUCUAGGUACCUCACCCCCUGGAAACAGUGUUUGGCUCAGGGAUCGGCUCACGACGCAAACAGAACCAAGGAGAGUGCUUUUGAGUGGAAAAAAAAGGAGUGCCCCAAUAGGGCUGGUAAGCCCAAGGGCCGUCUGAACCUGGGGGUCUUCACCUUGGAGAAAGCCUGUCUGUUAUGCCUGAAGUCAUCUCAGAAGUGGUACCACAGAGGAGUUGACUAGCUUUGCUUAUGCUCUCAAGUUGAUCCAUACAGUGCCAGAUUAUACCCUAUCAUAAGAGAUAGGGUCCCCUGAACACAAGAAGUCAUCUCCCCUUCUGGGUAGGACUUUGCACCACAUUCUCUUCCCUCUGCCUGGAACAUACCUCCCAACUGCUUUACUCUCUUAAAUCUCACUCAUUACCAUCUAAAACCAUUUUCCUUUCUUAUUGCCUGUUUGCUGUCAUCUCCCACAGGACUGUGAACUCAAGAAAGCAGGAAGUAUGCCUCCCUUAUUCAUCACUGGGUCCCCAGUGCUUAGAACAGUGCCUGGCACAGAGACGGGGCUCUGUAAAGAUCUGCUGAAUGAACACUUUAUCCUCUUACUUCUUAUCCUUCAAGCCUCAGAUGUUCCCCCAGGAUGCCUUCUUCGUUUCCCCAGACUAGUUCAAGCUGCACCUCCGACGUGCUCCCACAGCCCCUGAGCUGCCUCCCUGCAGACGCCAUACCUGCCGUGGCUGCUUGUUUGCUGAGUAGCCUCUCCCACUGAACCCUGGGCAACUUGAGAUAAAUGAAGAUUCUGAGGCCAAAGGAGAAUUGCAGGGAAGAUAAAUCCUGAAAACUUUUCAAACAUUUCAGAAUGCACACUCCCUUUGAAGAGUAAAAAA
RNAcentral lists this long non-coding RNA (1109 nucleotides) under Homo sapiens (human). RNAcentral describes it as "HSALNT0383015". The record is from RNAcentral. Lineage: Eukaryota; Metazoa; Chordata; Mammalia; Primates; Hominidae.